UAGGCUGUGGCUGACGUGGAGGAUGACAUUGAAGAGGAGGAGUUCCUGGAGCAAGCUCCUAUUGCACCGGUCAGUCUGUAAUUGUCUUAUAUUGUUACCUCUUUCUGCUAAGCAUUGCCUUGCUGUUCCCUUGCUGCUGUAAUACUGUCAAUUUUCCCACUGUUGGAAUCAUAAGCAAUUAUCUUAUCUUAUCUUAUCUUGUUUUAUCUAUUUUUGGACAGUGGGAGGAAGCAGAGGUAGCAUCCCUUACCGCCACCUGCCACACGGAGACAUCCAGCCAGUCAGGUGUCGAUGUCCUGGUGCUGGAUGCAGAGUCUGAGCCAGUGCCAGUUGCACAGGCUGAGGGGGAUCGGGGCAGCGUGGAGGUCGUGGUGGAGAGCAUAGAAACAGCUCCCAAAAACAAGAGAGGAUGGCUACAGCGCUGUCAGAGACUCUGGAGGAGCACAGCCUCUACCUUUCUUUCCUGCUGUCCUUACAGGGUCAAUAGAUAUAACAAAAAAUGGAGAGGAUAGAUAGAUAAAUGGACAGAUUAAUAGAAAGGGGAGGACAGAUCAAUAGAAAGGUGGGGGGGGCAGAUCAAUAGAAAGGG
Molecule: long non-coding RNA, 589 nt
Filed under: Astyanax mexicanus (Mexican tetra)
Lineage: Eukaryota; Metazoa; Chordata; Actinopteri; Characiformes; Acestrorhamphidae
Description: lncRNA (ENSAMXG00005003120.1)
Source: RNAcentral